This 1699-nucleotide ribosomal RNA is filed under the name Filenchus longiurus. RNAcentral describes it as "SSU rRNA". It matches the Rfam family "Eukaryotic small subunit ribosomal RNA". The record is from RNAcentral. Lineage: Eukaryota; Metazoa; Nematoda; Chromadorea; Rhabditida; Tylenchidae.
AUGUCUAAGUACAAACGACUUGAUCGUGAAACCGCGAACGGCUCAUUAUAACAGCUAUAAUUUACUUGAUCUUGACCAAUCCUACUUGGAUAACUGUGGUAAUUCUAGAGCUAAUACAUGCGCAAGAGCUCCGUCCUUUUGGGCGGAGUGCAUUUAUUAGAAGAAAACCAAGCGGCUUCGGCCGUCUUUCGUUGACUCAGAAUAACUAAGCUGAUCGCAGGGUCUUGUACCGGCGACGUGUCUUUCAAGUAUCUGCCUUAUCAACUUUCGAUGGUAGUGUAUGUGACUACCAUGGUGGUGACGGGUAACGGAGGAUAAGGGUUCGACUCCGGAGAAGGGGCCUGAGAAAUGGCCACUACGUCUAAGGAUGGCAGCAGGCGCGCAAAUUACCCACUCUCGGCGUGAGGAGGUAGUGACGAGAAAUAACGAGACCGUUCUCUAUGAGGCCGGUCAUCGGAAUGGGUACAAUCUAAACCCUUUAACGAGUAUCUAUGAGAGGGCAAGUCUGGUGCCAGCAGCCGCGGUAAUUCCAGCUCUCAAAAUGCAUAGAAUUAUUGCUGCGGUUAAAAAGCUCGUAGUUGGAUCUGUGCCGGGGCGCCGGUCCACCCCACUGGGGUGCGCACUGGUCGCGCCGGCUUAGUGCCGGUUGUUCCCCGCCGUGGUCUUUACCGGCUGCGGUGGGCGGCUGGCGAGUUUACUUUGAACAAAUCAGAGUGCUUAACACAGGCGUCUCGCCUGAAUGUUCGUGCAUGGAAUAAUAGAAGAGGAUUUCGGUUCUAUUUUAUUGGUUUUAUAGACUGAAGUAAUGGUUAACAGAGACAAACGGGGGCAUUCGUACCGCUGCGUGAGAGGUGAAAUUCUUGGACCGCAGCGAGACGCACGACAGCGAAAGCAUUUGCCAAGCAUGUCUUCAUUAAUCAAGAACGAAAGYCAGAGGUUCGAAGGCGAUCAGAUACCGCCCUAGUUCUGACCGUAAACGAUGCCAACUAGCGAUCCGCCGGCGGAUUUUUCGCCCUGGUGGGGAGCUUCCCGGAAACGAAAGUCUUCCGGUUCCGGGGGAAGUAUGGUUGCAAAGCUGAAACUUAAAGGAAUUGACGGAAGGGCACCACCAGGAGUGGAGCUUGCGGCUUAAUUUGACUCAACACGGGAAAACUCACCCGGCCCGAACACCGCGAGGAUUGACAGAUUGACAGCUCUUUCAUGAUUCGGUGGAUGGUGGUGCAUGGCCGUUCUUAGUUCGUGGAGCGAUUUGUCUGGUUUAUUCCGAUAACGAGCGAGACUCUAGCCUGCUAAAUAGUCCACACAUUGCCUCUUGUGUGUGCUGACUUCUUAGAGGGAUUUUCGGCGCUCAGCCGCACGAGAUUGAGCAAUAACGGGUCUGUGAUGCCCUUAGAUGUCCGGGGCUGCACGCGUGCUACACUGGCAAAGGCAACGUGCCUGUCCUCUCCCAAAAGGGAGGGGUAAACCAUUGAAAAUUUGCCGUGAUUGGGAUCGGAAAUUGCAAUUAUUUUCCGUGAACGAGGAAUUCCAAGUAAGUGCGAGUCAUCAACUCGCGUUGAUUACGUCCCUGCCCUUUGUACACACCGCCCGUCGCUGCCCGGGACUGAGCCAUUUCGAGAAAUUUGGGGACCGGCGUUAGCUGCCCUCUCGGGGACACUUUCGCUGCGAACCAACUUAAUCGCAGUGGCUUGAACCGGGC